RNAcentral lists this ribosomal RNA (5391 nucleotides) under Prochlorococcus marinus str. MIT 9313. The record is from RNAcentral. Lineage: Bacteria; Bacillati; Cyanobacteriota; Cyanophyceae; Synechococcales; Prochlorococcaceae.
GGCUCAGGAUGAACGCUGGCGGCGUGCUUAACACAUGCAAGUCGAACGAACCUUCGGGUUAGUGGCGGACGGGUGAGUAACGCGUGGGAAUCUGCCCUCAGGAGGGGGAUAACGGUUGGAAACGGCCGCUAAUACCCCAUAUGCCGAGAGGUGAAAUGAAUUUCGCCUGAGGAUGAGCCCGCGUCUGAUUAGCUAGUUGGUGAGGUAAUGGCUCACCAAGGCAUCGAUCAGUAGCUGGUCUGAGAGGAUGAUCAGCCACACUGGGACUGAGACACGGCCCAGACUCCUACGGGAGGCAGCAGUGGGGAAUUUUCCGCAAUGGGCGCAAGCCUGACGGAGCAACGCCGCGUGAGGGAUGAAGGCCUCUGGGCUGUAAACCUCUUUUCUCAAGGAAGAAGAUCUGACGGUACUUGAGGAAUAAGCCACGGCUAAUUCCGUGCCAGCAGCCGCGGUAAUACGGGAGUGGCAAGCGUUAUCCGGAAUUAUUGGGCGUAAAGCGUCCGCAGGCGGCUUUUCAAGUCUGCUGUUAAAGCGUGGAGCUUAACUCCAUCAAGGCAGUGGAAACUGAUUGGCUUGAGUGUGGUAGGGGCAGAGGGAAUUCCCGGUGUAGCGGUGAAAUGCGUAGAUAUCGGGAAGAACACCAGUGGCGAAGGCGCUCUGCUGGGCCAUAACUGACGCUCAUGGACGAAAGCCAGGGGAGCGAAAGGGAUUAGAUACCCCUGUAGUCCUGGCCGUAAACGAUGAACACUAGGUGUCGGGGGAAUCGACCCCCUCGGUGUCGUAGCCAACGCGUUAAGUGUUCCGCCUGGGGAGUACGCACGCAAGUGUGAAACUCAAAGGAAUUGACGGGGGCCCGCACAAGCGGUGGAGUAUGUGGUUUAAUUCGAUGCAACGCGAAGAACCUUACCAGGGUUUGACAUCCUGCGAACCUCUAAGAAAUUAGAGGGUGCCUUUGGGAACGCAGUGACAGGUGGUGCAUGGCUGUCGUCAGCUCGUGUCGUGAGAUGUUGGGUUAAGUCCCGCAACGAGCGCAACCCACGUUUUUAGUUGCCAGCAUUCAGUUGGGCACUCUAGAGAGACCGCCGGUGAUAAACCGGAGGAAGGUGUGGAUGACGUCAAGUCAUCAUGCCCCUUACAUCCUGGGCUACACACGUACUACAAUGCUACGGACAAAGGGCAGCGAACUCGCGAGGGCAAGCAAAUCCCAUAAACCGUGGCUCAGUUCAGAUCGUAGGCUGCAACUCGCCUACGUGAAGAAGGAAUCGCUAGUAAUCGCAGGUCAGCAUACUGCGGUGAAUACGUUCCCGGGCCUUGUACACACCGCCCGUCACACCAUGGAAGUUGGCCACGCCCGAAGUCGUUACUCCAACCCUUGUGGAGGAGGACGCCGAAGGUGGGGCUGAUGACUGGGGUGAAGUCGUAACAAGGUAGCCGUACCGGAAGGUGCGGCUGGAUCACCUCCUAACAGGGAGACAACAACUGAUCGUGAUGUCUGAGUUAUUGAUACUUAGGCCAUGAUCCUGUCACCUUAGGUCGAUCGGUACCUCAAGUUGAGAAUCAAAGAAAAGCUGAGUAAUCAGCUUGGAGAUUGAUGAUUGAUUUUAGUUCCUAAACUUGUCUAGGUCACACCCCGCAAGGGUUACUCCUGGGCCAUUAGCUCAGGUGGUUAGAGCGCACCCCUGAUAAGGGUGAGGUCCCUGGUUCAAGUCCAGGAUGGCCCAUUCGGUGUUGGGGGUUUAGCUCAGUUGGUAGAGCGCCUGCUUUGCAAGCAGGAUGUCAGCGGUUCGAGUCCGCUAACCUCCACUGACGAAUCUUCUGACAACGAGCCAAUGGUGAGAACCGUUGUGUGAUGUGAUUUAGAAUUUAAGUUUGCUGGCAGACCCUAGCUUCUUAUCAUUCCAGGACUCAAUCAAUUGAGAUGAGGUUGAUAGGACGCUGGGCUCACUGUAAUUCGCAAGAAUUGCAGAGAUGUUCAGCAGAACCUUGACAACUGCAUAGGUAAGUCUGGAAAGAAUAAAGCAUCUCAUGGAUGCAUGAUUCUUGGGAAUCAGCUGAUGCAAUCUGCGCGAGCAGAGAGCUGAGGUUGAUCAACGAGAAUGAUGUUUGAUUCUUGAGUCAAGAGCCGAGACUCUAUAGCGUUCUUUCGAUGUCAUCGAGGCAUCGAGAGUUUGAUUGGUGAUUCAAACCAUCUUCAAUGACAAACAAUUCAGUUUAACUGGAGAAGUUUGAGAUUGAAGCCAGGUAAAUUGCUAAGAAUACGUAUUCAACUACGUGAAGCGUUAUAGAGAUUAAUUGGUCAAGCUACAAAGGGCUCAUGGUGGAUACCUUGGCACACAGAGGCGAUGAAGGACGUAGUUACCUGCGAUAAGUCUCGGGGAGCUGGACACACGCUUUGAUCCGGGAAUUUCCGAAUGGGGCAACCCCUAGUACGGCCAGCUGAAUCCAUAGGCUGGUGCGAGCCAACCCAGCGAACUGAAACAUCUUAGUAGCUGGAGGAAAGGAAAGUAAAAACGACUCCCUAAGUAGCGGCGAGCGAACGGGGAAGAGCCUAAACCGAUGGUUUCGACCAUCGGGGUUGUGGGACAGCAAUGUGUAUCAGGGAUGUUAGGAGAAGUGUUUGAAUGGCACACCACAGAGGGUGAAAGUCCCGUAACCGAAAACUGAACUGAACUAGCUGUAUCCCGAGUAGCACGGAGCACGUGAAAUUCCGUGUGAAUCCGCGAGGACCACCUCGUAAGGCUAAGUACUACUGUGUGACCGAUAGCGCAACAGUACCGCGAGGGAAAGGUGAAAAGAACCCCGGGAGGGGAGUGAAAUAGAACAUGAAACCAUGAGCCUACAAGCAAUGGGAGCCCGACUAAAUCGGGUGACCGUGUGCCUGUUGAAGAAUGAGCCGGCGACUUAUAGGCACUGGCAGGUUAAACCGGAAAUGGUGGAGCCAUAGCGAAAGCGAGUCUGAAUAGGGCGAUCGUCAGUGUUUAUAGACCCGAACCCGGGUGAUCUAACCAUGGCCAGGAUGAAGCUUGGGUGAUACCAAGUGGAGGUCCGAACCGACUGAUGUUGAAAAAUCAGCGGAUGAGCUGUGGUUAGGGGUGAAAUGCCAAUCGAACCCGGAGCUAGCUGGUUCUCCCCGAAAUACGUUGAGGCGUAGCGUCUAGUGCUCCAGCAGGGGGGUAAAGCCACCAUUUCGGUGCGGGCUGCGAGAGCGGUACCUAAUCGAGAUGAACUCUGAAUACCCUGUGUGUAACUAGGCAGUCAGACUGUGGGGGAUAAGCUCCAUAGUCGAAAGGGAAACAGCCCAGACCGCCAGCUAAGGUCCCCAAAUCAACACUAAGUGAUAAAGGAGGUGGGAUUGCCCAGACAACCAGGAGGUUUGCCUAGAAGCAGCCAUCCUCAAAGGAGUGCGUAAUAGCUCACUGGUCGAGCGAUCCUGCGCCGAAAAUGAACGGGGCUAAGUGUUGUACCGAAGCUGCGGAUUUAACUUGUUAAAUGGUAGGGGAGCGUUCUAUGUGGGGCGAAGCGUUAGCGUAAGCGGGCGUGGACUGCAUAGAAGUGAGAAUGUCGGCUUGAGUAGCGAAAACAUGGGUGAGAAUCCCAUGCCCCGAAACCCUAAGGGUUCCUCCGGCAGGCUCGUCCGCGGAGGGUUAGUCUGGACCUAAGGCGAGGCCGAAAGGCGUAGUCGAUGGAUAACAGGUCAACAUUCCUGUACCGGUUAUGUUUUGGGAAGGGGGACGGAGAAGGCUAGCCAAGCCAGAUGUUGGUUACUGGUUUAAGCGUUCGAGGCGUUGAGGAGCGGCGAAAACGUUCUGAGCUAAGGCGUGAAUACGAGCUGCUACGGCAGCGAAGUUGGUGAUGUCAUGCUUCCAAGAAAAGCCCUAUACCCGUUAAGGCAUAACUGCCAGUACCCGAAACCGACACAGGUAGGGUGGUAGAGAAUACCGAGGGGCGCGAGAUAACUCUCUCUAAGGAACUCGGCAAAAUGGCCCCGUAACUUCGGGAGAAGGGGUGCCAGCGAGAGCUGGUCGCAGUGAAGAGGCCCAGGCGACUGUUUACCAAAAACACAGGUCUCCGCUAAGUCGCAAGACGAUGUAUGGGGGCUGACGCCUGCCCAGUGCCGGAAGGUUAAGGAAGCCGGUCAGCGUAAGCGAAGCUGGCGACUGAAGCCCCGGUGAACGGCGGCCGUAACUAUAACGGUCCUAAGGUAGCGAAAUUCCUUGUCGGGUAAGUUCCGACCCGCACGAAAGGCGUAACGAUCUGGGCGCUGUCUCGGAGAGAGGCUCGGCGAAAUAGAAUUGUCUGUGAAGAUGCGGACUACGUACACCCGGACAGAAAGACCCUAUGAAGCUUUACUGUAGCUUGGUAUUGUGCCCGGGCUCUGAAUGCGCAGGAUAGGUGGGAGACGUUGAAGUAGUGCUCGUGGGUGCUACUGAGUCAAUGGUGAGAUACCACUCUUUCAGAGCUAGGGUUCUAACGUUCACCCGUUAUCCGGGGAGCGGACAGUAUCAGGUGGGCAGUUUGACUGGGGCGGUCGCCUCCUAAAAGGUAACGGAGGCGCGCAAAGGUUCCCUCAGGCUGGUUGGAAAUCAGUCGACGAGUGCAAAGGCAGAAGGGAGCUUGACUGUGAGACCUACAAGUCGAACAGGGACGAAAGUCGGCCUUAGUGAUCCGACGGUUCUGAGUGGAAGGGCCGUCGCUCAACGGAUAAAAGUUACUCUAGGGAUAACAGGCUGAUCUCCCCCAAGAGUUCACAUCGACGGGGAGGUUUGGCACCUCGAUGUCGGCUCAUCGCAACCUGGGGCUGAAGUCGGUCCCAAGGGUUGGGCUGUUCGCCCAUUAAAGCGGUACGCGAGCUGGGUUCAGAACGUCGUGAGACAGUUCGGUCCAUAUCCGGUGUACGCGCAGGAACAUUGAGAGGAUUUCUCCCUAGUACGAGAGGACCGGGAGGAACGCACCUCUGGUGUACCAGUUAUCGUGCCAACGGUAAACGCUGGGUAGCCAUGUGCGGAGUGGAUAACCGCUGAAAGCAUCUAAGUGGGAAGCCCACCUCAAGAUGAGUGUUCCCAUGGCAUAAGCCAGUAAGGUCACGGGAAGAACACCCGUUGAUAGGCUCUACGUGGAAGUCCAGUAAUGGAUGCAGCGGAGGAGUACUAAUAGACCGAGGGCUUGACCAUCCAUUUGGUUCUUGCCCGAGAAACAAGUUUUAUUCAAUUCAGAGCAUCAUUCGCAAGGAUGAUGACCUAUGCAGUUCUCAAGGUUCACUCCUUGGGAAUGAUUUUAUCCUGGUGUUCAUGGCGAUGUGGAACCACUCCGAUCCAUCUCGAACUCGGUUGUGAAACGCAUCAGCGGCGACGAUAUUUUAGGGGUAGCCCUCUGAGAAAAUAGCUCAAUGCC